Molecule: long non-coding RNA, 2643 nt
Organism: Nerophis ophidion (straightnose pipefish)
Lineage: Eukaryota; Metazoa; Chordata; Actinopteri; Syngnathiformes; Syngnathidae
Exons: 2
Source: RefSeq, a predicted model, not a curated record
CCCAUCCAGGCGGCAAAGGUGGCGCUGUGCUCCCACUAAGCAGGAAGUGUAACGUUGGUUGCUUGCCAACUGCCGGUGGACCAAAGAAGAAGAAGAGGAAGAAGGGUAACGUGUGUGGAAAAAACCGCGGUGGAAGUACAGCUAAUGCAAGACCCCACACACCUGUGAGAGAUGUUUGUGUCCAACCUGAUGCUGCUGCCAUGUCAUGAAGAUGUGGAUUGGCAAGAAGGUCUCGAGCAGGUCUCAUGUUUGCACGGUGGGAUGAGGUAGUAGGUUGAAUAGUUUUAGGGUCGUACCCACACUGGGAGAUAACUACUCAACCUACUGUCUUUCUCAAAGUGACACACGUCCGCCAUCUAUUUCUGUCUGACCAAGUGGAGAGUCGUUGCUGACGCAGUGUGAGGUAGUAGUUUGUAUAGUUGGUGGGUCGUUAUUUGGCCUUCUUUUGGAGAUAACUAUACAAUCUAUUGCCUUCCUUGAGCAGUGACAUUGCAGUCGUCUUUCAUAUAAUGUAUUUACAAUAGGGCUGUCACUAAUAAAUAACAAGCUAGCUCGAACAAGAAAUUAUCACAAUCAUCUAUAUAUACACGAAUUAAUUUCGCAAUUUGAUUUGACUGUAUGUGCUUCUUUAUCCUAACCACGGUUGGCUGAUGGUUAAGGUCAGUGCAAACAUGUGCUUGCUGGCAAAUUCCGCUUCCAAAUAAAUCUAGAUGGCACUUCAGAUAAAACACUUAGCAAGUUUUGAGCAAAUAAAUGACGUACGUUGAAGUAAAUAUUUAAAACAUGUUCCUGUAUGACAUAAAAUUAGAUUUGCAUCCAUAUAUUGGGCUCUUUUUUCAGUUGAUUUAAAUGGUACGAGUGAGUGAUAACCUGUAAUUAAUCAAGAUAAGUCAAAAUUUCAAAGUAAUUAAGAUUAAUCCAGAAUGUGAUUAGUCUGAUUUAGAACAAUCCUUUCACAGCACUAAUGUAUAGUAGUUUUUUUAUUAUUGCUGUCAUACUAUUCAUUUUUAAAAAUCAGAUUAAUCACCGUUUUGAAUUGUGUUUGAUCACAACCACAGUAGCUUGUUGAAAAGACCUCAAUAUUUGACAAUUAUAUUGUCAGAAUGUUAAAUAAUAUAUUUUUAUUUAUGUUUUUUUGCUCCAAACUUGCUAAGGGAGUCUCCUCACUUGUCUUCCAUGUCAUUGACCUGAUCACUGGCUGUUUAAUAACACAACUUUCAGGUAAUAAUUGUAGCAGGAAUUAUGCUCACCUGAAUGUGACCACAUUAUCUUAAACGCUACUAAAAACUACACUUUUCAACAUUCGGUGUGUCUUGAAGCAGUGUAUAACCUGUCAUUGCAAAUAAUGUAUUAAAAUACCACUUUGACCAUUAAUGUUACCCACAUUCUGUCAUGUAUUGACUUUACCUUUAUUAUUAAACUAUACUUUUGUUCAAUGCAUUUAUACAGUGUUAUUUAUUUACUAUUUAAAUAAACAAAACAAUUUGAAGUGUAUUAUGUGUCUGGAUCUUAGUAACAGAUGCAAUAAAUGAAGGCAUUGGGUUACUUUGUCGGUAAUAAACAGAAAUAUUGAGUGGAAACAUCCAACUACAACAUUUGAAGUGUGAUAAUGUCUGUUUAAUGGAACACAUGCAUAUGGAAACAUUUUACUAGUAUUUUGGCUAUUAGUUAUUAGUUGUUAUAUGUUAACUAUGUCAUUUAUUAUUAUCUUUGAGUUAUUAGCUGUCAUUUAAUAGCUAUAAGUUAUUGAUUAGCUGUAAGUUAUUAACUAUAAUAGCUAAUAACUCAUUAAUAAGCUGUCAGUGAUCAGUUAUCUAUCAUUAGCUAUCAGUUAUUAGGUAUUAGUUAUUUUCUGUCAGUUAGCUACUGUCACAUGUGCAUGUACAGUAGAUAACAGUAUUGCCCUGUUAAAGUGUCACAAAAUUAAUGUUGACGGAAGAACUGCUUUACGGCAGACCAAAAACUGACUUGCUCUUGUGUGUUGUUUACCAUAGACAUCUAAGGUUACGCAGCAUCGAGCGCUACUGCCUAUUGGCGCUGACGAGACGCGGGGCCGCCAUCUUGGAGUGGUGAUCCAAUCCACUCAGUGCAAUUUGUUUGGCAGGAGCAAUGAACUGUCAGCGCAUUUAAUUCAUUUUACCUCACUGAAUACCACUGAUUUUCACGCCAUUUUUGGUCAUACGUGUAGCUAUGAUAAUGGACACAUGUUUUGGGGUGUUUCAUUAUUCAUAGUUUGCCUAACACUAAUAGAAUAUUCUUAUAUGCUAUUUAUAAGUGACCAGACGUCCAAGAUCAAAAUUGGGAAUAUAAUCCCAGAGAAGGGGGGAAAAGCGGUCAGCUAAUUUUAAAUUGAAGAAACAAUAUGAUUAGGUUAUAUAUACAUACGUAUAUCCUACAUAAGCAAUGUAUGAAUACAUUAGAUAUCUAUAUAUCUUAGGGACCUAUGGACUGUAUUUCUGUUGCUGCAGCAGCAGAGAGUUUAUUCUGUCUUGACACUUUGUAUUGAUAUUUUGUAUUACAUUUUUCCCUUAAAUGAUAAUGUUUACAGUGAUUAUUUUUUAUGUAUGUCUCUUUGGAUAAAAGCAUCUGCCAAAUACUUAAACAUAAAUAAACACCUGAAAGUCUUUAUACCCGCUAAAACCA